Rana temporaria (common frog) is the source of this 371-nucleotide long non-coding RNA. RefSeq lists it as uncharacterized. The record is from RefSeq and is a predicted model, not a curated record. NCBI's taxonomy places the organism in Eukaryota, Metazoa, Chordata, Amphibia, Anura, Ranidae. The transcript is spliced from 3 exons.
AAGCCAGGCAGCACACACUCAGACAGUGUGGAGCGAGCCACACAUCAGAUGCGGCGCUUUCUUUACCUGGACACGGCGUUCACCACUGAAUUCCACCUUGACUGUGCUGCAGUGCAAACAUCUCUCUCUCCUUGAGAGUUUUUUGGCAAGUUUAACUGUUUGACUAUUAUUAUCUGUUACCAUUGGCACCCCCUAGCUUGCGGAACGGCCCAACACGGCCCCUGGUGGUGCAAGCUGGUGAGUGGUGUGUGUGUGCAUUUUCUUGUCUGACCCGGCUGGGUUGGUAAGGAGGAGGCUCCUUUUUUCGGAUGGCGCUCCACCGCGUUUAGCAUUCCACUAUAAAUAUAUACCAUCCAAGUGGUGAGUAUACU